GCAUGGUUUCCUAUUAUGCAUAAGAAAAAGAUCGUUGUCUUUAAGCUGUUUCCUUACUGACUCCAUAAAGUCAGCUCUGUUGCACCGUGUGCUCCAGCACUUCACUGCGCAGAGGGACGGGAAGCAAGAGGGGAAGAAGAGGGCUGAAGCAUGAACAAGGCAGAAUUCAUCACUGCUGCAGGAUUUGCCAUAUCUUUGCUGUUCUGCAUGACCCAAACUGAAGCAUGCCCUCCUUCCUGCAGCUGUAAGGCACUGGGAGAAAGGAAGGGUUUGCAGAUAGACUGCAGUUCAAGGAAGCUGAAGGAAGUGCCUGCCUUGCCCGUUAACACCAAGAGGCUUUAUCUGCAGAAUAACAGCCUGAGCACGGUUCCUCCCGGGGCCUUGGACAGCUUGCUCAGUGUGGAGGAAGUAAAACUGUUUGACAAUCCUUGGACCUGUGACUGUCAUAUCCUGUAUCUAAAACUCUGGUUAGAAGACAUCUCUGAAGCCGCUCUUGCAAACAUCAGAUGUGCAACUCCUGCUCCGGUGAGGAUGAAGCCCUUGAAGCAGCUGACUGGGAACGAGCUGGGGACCUGCAAGAGGUCUCUCCCAACCAAAUGCCUUGAGUUCUUUUGGAAAGACUUAAUUUUAAUUGCAAUAGCAAUAGUUACAUUUAUUUUAGUAGCAUGGGCUCUGAAAUUCUCAAAAAAGGUGGUCUACCAAAUAAACCUACGUCGGUACACCACCAGGGGCCUUCUGUUGUGGAGGCACGCCUCCAAAAACCACAAGCUACACUGAGCUCUUCACUACCACCAGCUUGAACAGAAACAUCAAACCAUGCUACCACGGAAAAAGUACAGGCACUGGCAACACAAGCUGUAGUGGUAAGCGUGCUACAGAUAGAUCCCAGGACACAAAAUCUUGUUCCUCUGAUAGGCAAGUUUGGUUUAAUUUCCUUUCAGAAAUAAGUUUGGUGAUUUAGUGGCCUUGGUUGGGUCACACGUGUGCAGACAAAUUCAGCUCUCCCUUCCUGGAGUUUCCCACCCGCAGAAUCCCUGUGUGUAGGCCAGCCACUGAGUGUACCCCCACUGAAAGUGUCUACAGACAGACAGUAAUGAGAAAGCAACCAAUAAAAAUAAUUUUAAAUAUUGUUGAAUUUCCUAGAGUGAAAAAUUAAAAAGAAAAAAAGAAUCUACAUGAAAUUGAAAUAAAGGAUGUGUUUUUGAACAUUCA
This is a non-coding RNA of Anas platyrhynchos (mallard), 1212 nucleotides long. NCBI's taxonomy places the organism in Eukaryota, Metazoa, Chordata, Aves, Anseriformes, Anatidae. The record is from RefSeq and is a predicted model, not a curated record.